AGCUAAUCAGGGUACAUUACUAAUCAGGUUAUUUCUGUGAGCAAUAGAGAUUGAAACCACGAAUCCUAUUAUUGUUUUGCUGGGCAAAGUGUCCCCUGACCUCUUUAUCCCUUCAUUUUGAAGGUCAUAUCUCAUCCUUCUUGUUUUGUCCCUGAUCAAUAGUCCGUGAGAGGAGCGUGGGUCAGUAGGUAGCCAAUGAUCCAUUGUCUUCCUUUUGUGGAAAGAUUCUCUUGAACAAAUAAUAGGAGAGUUCACAUUCUAGGAGCUUCCCAUCCUCUGUAUCCCCAACAUCUGUAACCAUCAGUGAAUAGCACUAACUUUGAAUACAUCAAGUAUGGCAGGUCUUAAUUUGAGGUGCCAUGUGUAGCUAGUGGUCCCCGUAUUGAAAGGAGCAAUACUGACGUUGGAUGAUGCACAGUGGGGUCAUGGAAGGGCUGGCUUGGAGCUCAGAGCAACAGGCAAAGAACCAAGCAAGGUGAGGCAACCAUUCGGCACAAUGUCUGACUCACGGGGUGAUUUUUCUGACACUGCUAUGACAUACUGUGAGGCUUUAUCCAUAACACAGUGCAUGAUAUACCUAUAUAUUGUUGGCUGCUUAGAGAACCAUAUUCCAGUUGAAAUUGACAGAAAUUUCACAAGACCUGACUGUCCUCGCAGCGCUGUUGAAGGAGCAUCUCGGUUCAAGUCAGCAACAGGCACACCUGGGAGUGGAACAUUCUAUCAUGAUGGUAAGAAAUAUAUUUCUUUUCACUGCUCAGCUGCAUUGUUAAUUAUGGUACAUUUCCUAGAUAACUUACAAAGCAGCCUUCUGAGGAAAGGUAAACACGAAAGGAAAUGUUGAGCCCUAAAUGGAACCUAAGCCAGUAAUAACAAGAUUAGCCUACACGCAGCUAUUAGCCUGCAGAAGUUGCUAUGGGC
Molecule: long non-coding RNA, 918 nt
Filed under: Felis catus (domestic cat)
Lineage: Eukaryota; Metazoa; Chordata; Mammalia; Carnivora; Felidae
Description: lncRNA (ENSFCAG00000041408.2)
Source: RNAcentral